CUGAAGCUGCUGAUCGGCCUCUGUUAUUGUUAUUGUUGUGUUUUCUCCGUGCUUCCUGUCCGCCAUGAUGGACCCACCUGCCCCACCAAUCAGAGCCACCUGUUGAAUCCGCUUCUCCAACCUUGGCCCGCUGAUCCUCUAAAAAUAAACCCGCUUCUUCUCUCCGUCGUGUCUGCAGGUGGAGAAAGUUUGUUUUGUUGCUCCUGUCGUCUUUCAGGAGCAGAGUGAAACAGUUAAAACUCCCCAUCCUGAUGUGCUACAUCUGUCGCUUUGCUUCCAGUCCACUGCUCAAAUGGGUCAAAAGUCCUCCAGAUGCAACUUCUUCAAUCAAUCUGAACCGUGGAUCUUCUAGCUGAUGUUCUGAUUUGGGGAAAGUUUGUUCGACUUGCAGCCUGGACACGCUGCAGGUUUUAACCCCACUGAGAACCGGUCGUCAGUCCUUAAACCGAGGCCAACAAACUGAACUGGAGCUACAAACAUGCUGAACGUGUUCAAAAGAAGCCGUGAAAACGAUGCGACGGUCAUCACAGAUUGAGAGAUACCCAACUGAGCAUUCAUACAACCGGCGCUUUUCCCACAUCCAGCGCGGGUCAUAUGGGACGUAGGACCGUCGGGCUCGGAGAAAGCGCUGUGGCCUGCUGUGCCUGCGAAGUCACACAAGAGUCACAAUCUGUGCUGCUUCUGGUUUGCAAGACGUCUGCAGGCCGGGGCAGAUGGGAGCGAGAGCUGCGUCAUCUGGCGUCGCCGUGGCAAACGGGGCACCAAGGAAACCUUCGUGUAACGAGAUCCGCGCUGAGCUGACGGUGAAACCUGUCGCCCUGAGCGGAGAACCGUCAUCCAAACCUCAAUGAAACUGUAUCCAGAAAAUACUUUAAAACAGAAAGAGGGCUCCACAUGACUGUCUGAAAAUAUGAAGUAACACAAGUAAAAACAAUUGAAACAAAUCCUAGAGGAUGAACCAAAGGAUAAAAAUUUGUUUAUAUGACGAGUUUUGUGAGCAGGAAGUGAAGGAGUCUACGACCACAGAACCUUCAGUCCAUCACAGUUUUAUGUUUUCAGACUUGAUGUUUAUUGAUUAUUAAUAAGUGAUUAGUAGUUGAUUACCUUACUUACAGACCCAUUCAGCCUCAUGAUGGCCAUUACUGGUUUCAGCUGUUGAAUUGUCAACAUUAUGUCUGAACUAAAAUGAUCCGCUUUGGGUCGCAUUGGCCUGCU
This is a long non-coding RNA of Poecilia latipinna (sailfin molly), 1215 nucleotides long. RefSeq lists it as uncharacterized. The record is from RefSeq and is a predicted model, not a curated record. NCBI's taxonomy places the organism in Eukaryota, Metazoa, Chordata, Actinopteri, Cyprinodontiformes, Poeciliidae. The transcript is spliced from 3 exons.